RNAcentral lists this transfer RNA (72 nucleotides) under Actinomycetota bacterium. RNAcentral's name for it is "Actinobacteria bacterium tRNA-Lys". Lineage: Bacteria; Bacillati; Actinomycetota. The record is from RNAcentral.
GGGUGAAGGACUUUUGGUAGAGCAGGUGACUCUUAAUAACCUGGGUCGGGGGUUCGAAUCCCUCAUAACCCA